Molecule: unclassified non-coding RNA, 279 nt
Filed under: uncultured fungus
Lineage: Eukaryota; Fungi
Description: sequence contains ITS1
Source: RNAcentral
CAUCCGGGUCCGUUCAAGAUCUGAUAUUCCUUGAGAGAGUAGGCGUUUUCGAUGAGCGUCAUCAGCGCGUAGUUGCCCAGCGUGAAUCUUUCCGGGGAGUAAUGAUUGCUCAUGGCCGUCGCCCCGGGAUCACCCGGUUUGAUCGACGCCACUUCGAUUUCCGGCGGAGCCGCGGCGGUCUGGCCAAAUACCAACCCGGUAACGAUUACGAAUGCUACGGUCGAAGUCGGUCUUGCCAAACAGGUCGCAAUUUCCAUGUCGGCCAACGAAUUGCCACGA